RNAcentral lists this ribosomal RNA (464 nucleotides) under Vreelandella stevensii. RNAcentral describes it as "partial 16S ribosomal RNA". It matches the Rfam family "Bacterial small subunit ribosomal RNA", at positions 339 to 795 of the family's 1533-position model. Lineage: Bacteria; Pseudomonadati; Pseudomonadota; Gammaproteobacteria; Oceanospirillales; Halomonadaceae. The record is from RNAcentral.
CUACGGGUGGCAGCAGUGGGGAAUAUUGGACAAUGGGCGAAAGCCUGAUCCAGCCAUGCCGCGUGUGUGAAGAAGGCCUUCGGGUUGUAAAGCACUUUCAGUGGGGAAGAAAGCCUUGGGGCUAAUACCCUCGAGGAAGGACAUCACCCACAGAAGAAGCACCGGCUAACUCCGUGCCAGCAGCCGCGGUAAUACGGAGGGUGCGAGCGUUAAUCGGAAUUACUGGGCGUAGAGCGCGCGUAGGCGGUCUGAUAAGCCGGUUGUGAAAGCCCCGGGCUCAACCUGGGAACGGCAUCCGGAACUGUCAGGCUAGAGUGCAGGAGAGGAAGGUAGAAUUCCCGGUGUAGCGGUGAAAUGCGUAGAGAUCGGGAGGAAUACCAGUGGCGAAGGCGGCCUUCUGGACUGACACUGACGCUGAGGUGCGAAAGCGUGGGUAGCAAACAGGAUUAGAUACCCCGGUAGUC